AGGAUCAUUGCACACACAAAGUUGCAGCCAACCAUUUCGCGAAUCUUACCAAUCGUCCCCCCUUCACUUGGGUUGGGGCGGUUGGGGCGCUCUCAUCGGCCCUCGCCACUAGUUUGAUCACUAGCUGGUCAUAGGUCUGUUGGGAGUGUCUCGGCCCUCCCUGAAACGCCCAAGUUGUUCCAACCGAUUGCGCAAUGCAUCAACACCUCCAAUAUGACUGAGUAUACCCAAAUCGGGACUCCAAUUAAUUGGGGUCCUCGAGUUGUAAUAAACAAAAACAACUCUCAGCAACGGAUAUCUUGGCUCUUGCAACGAUGAAGAACGCAGCGAAAUGCGAUACGUAGUGUGAAUUGCAGAAUUCCGCGAAUCAUCGAGUCUUUGAACGCAAGUUGCGCCCGAGGCUUGUCCAAGGGCAUUUCUGCCAGAGCGUCACCGCGAUACCCACCAAACCACUUCGAGUGGUUUGAGUGAAACUGGCCAUCCGAAUGUGUUGUGUCCCACAACACAUUGGGUUGGCUGAAAUGGAGAGAAUUUGGCCGCCGUGUUGACACAGCCAGCGAUCAGGUGAUCCAAGUCGUAAAAGACUUGGAACUCAAACGUGCGCUGGAUCCUGUGGCAGCCAGUUGGUCGGACUCACAAGCAGGCUCCUACCGACACUUCGGCCUUAAAAUAGCCGGGUGGAGGAAGGAACAUCAAAAAAAGUC
This 704-nucleotide ribosomal RNA is filed under the name Didymodon rigidulus. RNAcentral's name for it is "eukaryotic LSU rRNA". The stretch from base 280 to 432 matches the Rfam family "5.8S ribosomal RNA". Lineage: Eukaryota; Viridiplantae; Streptophyta; Bryopsida; Pottiales; Pottiaceae. The record is from RNAcentral.